UGAUAGGUGUCUUUGUUCAAAAAUUACAGAUUUAUUAUUAUUAUUAUUAUUUUUGUGCAUUCUAGAUCCCCCACCUCUGCCAUCUGGCAUCUCAAUCAUCCAAACAGACAAUCCUCCCUCCUAUAAUGAUGUGAUUAAAAUGGACAGAGAAGCACAGAAAGUCAAAGCAUCCAACAGCAAAGAAGCAGAGGCUCCAGAAGAAAGAGGAAUGAGAAGAAACUCCACAAAAAUUGACCUGGAUGUGGAACAAGGAGGACAGUGGGCAUUAAAAAUGUAAAUGGAGGAUCUUGGAUGAGAUUAAUGACUGUCCAACAACAUUCAAUCAAGAUGGAUUAUGUUUUUAUUCCUGGGUUAUUAGAUGUGAUAGUGGUGAAAAUAUUUGCUGGUCUUUAUUUAUCACUUAGCCUAGGUCAGUGACAAAUACAUGUUAGAGAAAAAAUUCUUGUUCAAGUACCUGUUUUGUAAUCUUUCAUUUUACAAGUAAAAGUCACUUACAAGUAUCCUAGAGUUAUAAGUGAUCACCUCUCAGAAGUUUAUCAUUGCCUUAUCAUUUGUAAAUGUUUGUAACAUUAAUCAGGUACUCAUACUGCUAUGAUACUAGUUUCGUAUUUGCAUUAUGUUGGAUGUCGGUUAGAUUAUUGAAAAAACAUAUAUUCAGCUGCACUUUAUAGUAGGUAGUCAAGUAGUUUUUCAAGUUAUGAAUGGUCUUUUACCUCCCUUUCAUCCUUUUUCACCUACUUCUUUUUCUUCUUGAUCAAGCCUGACAGCUAUCAGUGUCACUGGGUGCUAAAUAGCCACAAUGUGUGGACAUAUUCAUAGCAUUUGGUAUCUUUGUAACCCAGUUGCAAUGGGAGCCCCCUGUGCCAUAUAAAAUAUUGCUUCUGGAGUCUGUCGAGUCUGCUGCUUGAGGGAAAAAUCAGAAGCACAGGAAAGAAAAUUACCCUGUUCUCAAUGCUUUUGGUUGCAGCAUUAACAUUUUUUUAGGUAUUGAGGCUAAAAUGAGGCUUUAAGGUUUUAAGCCUUCUUUUGGGGGGCUAUUACUCCUCAACAAAUGCAGCCAGGGCCAAACAAGCCCACAACUGUUUAGCAUGCAGUUUAGAGCAGGCUGUCUGUGCAUGAUGCAAAGAUGUCAUCCCAGCAUGAGAGAUGGUCUACCAAGACAUGACAGGAAGUCAUCCUGGUGUGAAUGAGUUAACCAGCAGUAUGUUUAUACCACAUAUAUACAGUUUUUCUCUUCAAUGACGGUGGCUUCAUAAAUCUAUGUACAUAUGAAGGAUAUACUCUUGCAUGUUCCACAGAAAAUGUUCUGGGAUAUUUUUAACAUAUGUGUGCCACACAUUAUAAACAAGUAUUCCCUCUCAGUAACCAUGACUUCAUAAGAUAAUCUAAAGCUGAAGAGCUGAAAUCGAACCUUAUGUAUACAUGACAUCAUCUCCAUACCUGAUACCUACAUGUGAGAUCCCAGCAGCAUACAAAACAAAAAACACAGGCUGAACAAUUAAAACUUGACAUACUGCCAUACUAAACUGACACAUAAUCAUAUCAUGUAAGUAGUAGUAGUAGUAGUAUGUGUGUGUGUGUGUGUGUGUGUGUGUGUGUGUGUGUGUGUGUGUGUGUGUGUGUGUGUGUGUGUGUGUGUGUGUGUGUAUGUGUGAGAGAGAGAGAGAGAGAGAGAGAGAGUAUUAUCACCACUUCCAAAGUGUUGCCUCUGUAGUUCCAUUUUUUAUAUUGUUCAUAUUGUAAAGUGAACACUUGGUCGUAAUUACCCAUUCAAUAUGAAUGUAAAGGUAGGUCACACAAAAAUUCUCAUUCAACCUUUCAAAAACAUUGGUAACUUAUUCCUUCCAGGUCACUCUCAGGUUCUAAGACAAACCAAGAGAAUGUUACAAUAUCAUUCUAAAUUAGCUGAAGUACCUGUUGAUACUAACAACACCAAGCCAUUGGCAGUAGGUUCAUAGGCUUUAGCAAAAGAACUUUUUCAGAUUUUUGGUAGAUAUUUGUAAAGGCUUUUUGUGAGCAGUCUUUUUGAAAACAUUUUCUGUAGAAUGACAAGAAGUUUUUGUUAGAUACAUAUCAAUUUAAUAUUUAUCUUUCUUUCAAUUCCUGUAUUUCAAGAACAAAGAUGCUUUGUUAUAGUGCCUUUCAACUUUUAGGUUAUAAGAUUUAAAAAUCUAGUCCUGUCAUUUACUUUUGUAAUUGUUCCAAGAACCAAUGAUAUAAUUAUAUUACUUCACUGUAUAUUUAGGUAUACAUACGCACUGUAAGGAUUCAAGGUUCGUAGUCUUGUGAGUUAAGUGUUAAUAAGGUGCUAAAGCACUGUUUUUCUGCUAUGGGAAUUUUGCUCCAUUCAGCCUUUUAGUUACAGGUUUCUGUAAUUGUAAAUGGCAACUUAAUAUUUAAGUAAUAUUAAAUUAAUAUUUAAUAUUCAAAUAAAAGAUGCAAAGAGAAAUGUAGGUCUUCAGAAGAAUUCUCAUGCAAUUUGUGCAUAUGACACAUUAGUAAAGUGCAUUUUUUUAUUAUAAUCUGAUGGGACAGUUUGUAAAGUUACUGAUACCUAUUUUUCCUAUGUAUUGUGACUCAACUGUGAUUGUUUCAGUGUGCCUGAUGUAACGCAAAAGACAGAUCAGUGACAUUUUUUUUACAAAGUGUAUUCACGCUAUUAGUUACUAUAAUCUUACUAGUAAAUUAUUUGAAAAGUAUGAUAGUCAUAUAAGCUAGUCAUUAGUGUUAAGGCUUGUAAUAGUGUUUUAUUAAAUGUAAACUGUAGCAA
This 2770-nucleotide long non-coding RNA is filed under the name Penaeus monodon (black tiger shrimp). Its description in RNAcentral is "uncharacterized LOC119582567". Lineage: Eukaryota; Metazoa; Arthropoda; Malacostraca; Decapoda; Penaeidae. The record is from RNAcentral.